RNAcentral lists this ribosomal RNA (678 nucleotides) under uncultured crenarchaeote. RNAcentral describes it as "bacterial SSU rRNA". It matches the Rfam family "Archaeal small subunit ribosomal RNA", at positions 73 to 752 of the family's 1478-position model. Lineage: Archaea; Thermoproteati; Thermoproteota. The record is from RNAcentral.
AAUACAAGGCAUACGGCUCAGUAACGCGUAGUCAAUCUAACCUAUGGACGGGAAUAACCUCGGGAAACUGAGAAUAAUGCCCGAUAGAACAUUAUGCCUGGAAUGGUUUAUGUUCCAAAUGAUUUAUCGCCGUAGGAUGGGACUGCGGCCUAUCAGUUUGUUGGUGAGGUAAUGGCCCACCAAGACUAUUACAGGUACGGGCUCUGAGAGGAGUAGCCCGGAGAUGGGUACUGAGACACGGACCCAGGCCCUAUGGGGCGCAGCAGGCGAGAAAACUUUGCAAUGUGCGAAAGCACGACAAGGUUAAUCCGAGUGGUUUCUGCUAAAGAAACCUUUUGUCAGUCCUAGAAACACUGAUGAAUAAGGGGUGGGCAAGUUCUGGUGUCAGCCGCCGCGGUAAAACCAGCACCUCAAGUGGUCAGGAUGAUUAUUGGGCCUAAAGCAUCCGUAGCCGGCUCUGUAAGUUUUCGGUUAAAUCUGUACGCUCAACGUACAGGCUGCCGGGAAUACUGCAGAGCUAGGGAGUGGGAGAGGUAGACGGUACUCGGUAGGAAGGGGUAAAAUCCUUUGAUCUAUUGAUGACCACCUGUGGCGAAGGCGGUCUACCAGAACACGUCCGACGGUGAGGGAUGAAAGCUGGGGGAGCAAACCGGAUUAAAUACCCGGGUAGUCCCAGCU